Podarcis raffonei (Aeolian wall lizard) is the source of this 679-nucleotide long non-coding RNA. RefSeq lists it as uncharacterized. The transcript has 2 exons. Lineage: Eukaryota; Metazoa; Chordata; Lepidosauria; Squamata; Lacertidae. The record is from RefSeq and is a predicted model, not a curated record.
UACGUUCCCAGGCAUGUAGCUGGCAAGAGCCUCAGGCCUCCCUCCCUCCCUUGCCCCACCUCCCAAAGCUUUCCCUGCCACCCCUCCUUCUUUCCUCCACUGCCCCCCCCUUACUGGCUGCCUCUCUCCCUCCCUCUUUCCCUCGCAGCCUUAAUGACUUCCACAUGGGCUUCUGGCAUUCUGAGCAUUGUCUGAAAUCUCCAAAUUUAGAAGAAAUAUGAAAAUUGUCAAGAACGCCUUCCUUAGGGGGUAAAACCAACAUUCGCUUGAACUGUCGCAGGUCAAGGCAGCGGGACCACGUGACCAGGCCCCAGCCAAUGGCUGCCCUCAGGACCACUGACAGAUGAGGCCGUCAGCCGUGCAGCAUCGUCUUUCAGCUCAUAUAAGGAUUGGCUACUGGGGGAAGCAGUCACACGUCUGAGGAUUGGAAGCCUUGCAAAGGACAAUGGACAGCCAAUCUUGAGGAAGAGUCGCAGGUGGCAAGCUAGCUCAGGAUGCUAGUCCAUAGCAAGACUGUGACUGGUGUCAGUCCAUCAAAAUCUAGUUUCAGCCAAUUUUGCUUCUCUUUUAAAAUGAGCAUAAGGUCACGAUAUCAUUGUGAGUGUAAUGAUGGUAAUGGCGUUGUUGGUCCAAUAUGUUACACUGCCCAACCCUGCCAUAAACAAUCCUAGGAAUUGUA